This 497-nucleotide ribosomal RNA is filed under the name uncultured bacterium. Its description in RNAcentral is "partial 16S ribosomal RNA". It matches the Rfam family "Bacterial small subunit ribosomal RNA", at positions 28 to 507 of the family's 1533-position model. The record is from RNAcentral.
GAUGAACGCUGGCGGCGUGCCUAAUACAUGCAAGUCGAGCGAACGGACGAGAAGCUUGCUUUUCUGAUGUUAGCGGCGGACGGGUGAGUAACACGUGGAUAACCUACCUAUAAGACUGGGAUAACUUCGGGAAACCGGAGCUAAUACCGGAUAAUAUUUUGAACCGCAUGGUUCAAAAGUGAAAGACGGUCUUGCUGUCACUUAUAGAUGGAUCCGCGCUGCAUUAGCUAGUUGGUAAGGUAACGGCUUACCAAGGCAACGAUGCAUAGCCGACCUGAGAGGGUGAUCGGCCACACUGGAACUGAGACACGGUCCAGACUCCUACGGGAGGCAGCAGUAGGGAAUCUUCCGCAAUGGGCGAAAGCCUGACGGAGCAACGCCGCGUGAGUGAUGAAGGUCUUCGGAUCGUAAAACUCUGUUAUUAGGGAAGAACAUAUGUGUAAGUAACUGUGCACAUCUUGACUGUGCCUAAUCAGAAAGCCACGGCUAACUACGUG